RNAcentral lists this ribosomal RNA (492 nucleotides) under uncultured bacterium. Its description in RNAcentral is "partial 16S ribosomal RNA". It matches the Rfam family "Bacterial small subunit ribosomal RNA", at positions 29 to 507 of the family's 1533-position model. The record is from RNAcentral.
AGUGAACGCUGGCGGUAGGCCUAACACAUGCAAGUCGAACGGCAGCACAGUAAGAGCUUGCUCUUACGGGUGGCGAGUGGCGGACGGGUGAGGAAUACAUCUGAAUCUACUUUUUCGUGGGGGAUAACGUAGGGAAACUUACGCUAAUACCGCAUACGACCUACGGGUGAAAGCAGGGGAUCAUCGGACCUUGCGCGAUUGAAUGAGCCGAUGUCGGAUUAGCUAGUUGGCGGGGUAAAGGCCCACCAAGGCGACGAUCCGUAGCUGGUCUGAGAGGAUGAUCAGCCACACUGGAACUGAGACACGGUCCAGACUCCUACGGGAGGCAGCAGUGGGGAAUAUUGGACAAUGGGCGCAAGCCUGAUCCAGCCAUACCGCGUGGGUGAAGAAGGCCUUCGGGUUGUAAAGCCCUUUUGUUGGGAAAGAAAAGCAGCAGGUUAAUACCCCGCUGUUCUGACGGUACCCAAAGAAUAAGCACCGGCUAACUUCGUG